GAGUCAGAUGCUUAACCAACUGAGCCACACAGGCGCCCCUAAUGCUGGACCGCGGUUACGACCACGGACUCCAUAGACAGAUUGCAAGGACUGGAGGAACACUCACUAUGUGUGACCUUGGGAAUAUAUCUGCCGUUACGCUCUUUUUGAGUAAGUGCACUGGACUACUUUGUGCUUAUUCCCUGAAGCUGCAUUCCAACCACUGUGAUGCCAGAGACUAAUCAGGAGAAGCGUCACUAUCUGGCAAUGAGAACAGGAAAAAAAAUGCCCAUUCAGUCUGGCACCUCUCUAUUUUUAGGAAUAUACUGGGUCAUAGUUUGUCACUAUCACAGGGUUCCCUGGAAUGCCCAUGAAAUCUUUGACUGCUUUCUUUGCCUUGGGAAUACCCAAAAGAAUCUCUAAAUGCUUCAAGGGAAUGUCACAAAAAAGCCACAAAAACUAGCAUCAUAAAGCUAUUUAUAAAUAAUUUUAUCAGAAAAAAAAAAAGGCAAGUGGAGUGUGGUUAGGGAAGCAUACAGGCAGAAAUGAGUGAAGAAUAGAAAGAUAAGUUGAAAUAAAAAAUUAAAUAUGGCAUCACAACUUUAAAGCUGAAAAUCAAUGGGGUAAGAAAGAAAAAAACAGGUUCUAGGAACAAGUAUUAAUUUUAAAAAUAUACUGACAGUAAAUUAUAUAUAAGAUAUGCCUUUUAAACCAACGCUAAGGACAUAAAUUUAAGGGGUGGCUGGUGAAACUGAAAUCUUGUUUGAUUGUACUUAUCAGUUUCCAGUUAAAAUAUUGGCACGUCUUAAAAACCACACAAAUCAAUGGUCCAUAUUUUUUCAGCUAAAAUGGAGAACUGAUCAAAGAUUACCAGUUUAAUAAUAACUACAUUACCUCUCACUAAGAAACAGCUAGGAAACACUAUCAAUAAUUUUGUUUGAUAGGGGAUAGAGUUGUGAUACAGGAGUCAAAAAUUCUCUAUUUCUUUUUUCCUGCGGUCUAUUUAAUGCAGUCAGGCUAAUACACCAAAUGAGAAGAUUUGCCACUGACAUAAUUAAAACAUAAAAAAAAUAAUUUUAUGGCACAUAUGCUAUAAAGUCUAUAAAAUUCUGUGAGAAAUUAAAUUUUUCCCAGACUGAAACAUAACAUCAAAAUGAACAUGAAAGUCAGUUCUUUGCAUAAUAAUUCAUUUUGAGUCAGCUGAACAGUAGGUAAACCACUGUCAAAUUAAGCACUUAAAAAAAAUUAGAACUUCUUAGCAAGUCUCCGAUUACCCAUUCAUUCCAAUGGUAAGUUGCUUUUCUUAAAUCUCAAUCUACUUCCCAGCAGGAUACCCAGACUGAUAAACCAUCAGUAAAAUGUCAGCUUCCACUGAAGGGAAGACAGAGGAGAAAGAGAACAAAUGGUAAAAGAGAAAUCUGUAUUAUUUACAAAAUGGAAAAAUGAAUUACUCUGAUAAUUAUUAAUUUAGAAGGGAAUAAGAGGAAUAAAAUCCUAAGUAUUUUUAUUAAGAGAAUAUGUACUUGAUGAUCCACAGGGGCAAUUUGUACAUCACAGAACAGGGAAGAAUCUAUUAUCUAAUUCUCUACCGUAAGACAAAAAUACAAAAUAAACAUUGCCAAAUUGGUGAAUACACUAUUCUUUGAAAAGUGCAGGAAAAAAUUCCCUGUAUCAGUAAAAGCCAAUUCGAAUUAAAGCAUGCAUGAGCAGAAAGUUUUCCUUUUUGUUUAACUUAAAACUCUUAUUCCCACGUAGGCAGGAUUUUUAGAAUUUCCAGAAGACCAUUACAUCACUCUUCAGCCUUCUCUUCCACAUAAAAAAAAGAAAAACUACAACUGUUGUUUCUUUCCUCAAAAGGUUUCACUUCUCUGUGUGAGAAUGUUCUGUGUACCCUAAUUUUCUUUGGAUUUCUUUGUAUCUAUAUGCAAAAGAAAGCUCCAAACCGUUAAGGUGUUCUUAAGGUGUUAAAUUUUAAAUGAAAACUUUCUUUCAAAGGCAUUUGGCUCAUGGUUUACCUAUAAUCCUCCAAUUAUACUUUUCCUAACCUGUAACUCUUACCAGCUGGGAAGAAUGAUGGCUUCUGAUUCUGAAAAUGCUAAAAUAAACCUCAUCUUGAAUCUA
Prionailurus viverrinus (fishing cat) is the source of this 2100-nucleotide long non-coding RNA. RefSeq lists it as uncharacterized. The record is from RefSeq and is a predicted model, not a curated record. NCBI's taxonomy places the organism in Eukaryota, Metazoa, Chordata, Mammalia, Carnivora, Felidae. The transcript has 3 exons.